GAUGAACGCUGGCGGCGUGCCUAAUACAUGCAAGUCGAGCGGACGGACGAGAAGCUUGCUUCUCUGAUGUUAGCGGCGGACGGGUGAGUAACACGUGGAUAACCUACCUAUAAGACUGGGAUCACUUCGGGAAACCGGAACUAAUACCGGAUGAUAUUUUGAACCGCAUGGUUCAAAAGUGAAAGACGGUCUUGCUGUCACUUAUAGAUGGAUCCGCGCUGCAUUAGCUAGUUGGUAGGGUAACGGCUUACCAAGGCAACGAUGCAUAGCCGAACUGAGAGGGUGAUCGGCCACACUGGAGCUGAGACACGGUCCAGACUCCUACGGGAGGCAGCAGUAGGGAAUCUUCCGCAAUGGGCGAAAGCCUGACGGAGCAACGCCGCGUGAGUGAUGAAGGUCUUCGGAUCGUAAAACUCUGUUAUUAGGGAAGAACAUAUGUGUAAGUAACUGUGCACAUCUUGACGGUACCUAAUCAGAAAGCCACGGCUAACUACGUG
This 497-nucleotide ribosomal RNA is filed under the name uncultured bacterium. RNAcentral describes it as "partial 16S ribosomal RNA". It matches the Rfam family "Bacterial small subunit ribosomal RNA", at positions 28 to 507 of the family's 1533-position model. The record is from RNAcentral.